RNAcentral lists this transfer RNA (75 nucleotides) under [Chlorobium] sp. 445. Its description in RNAcentral is "Chlorobium sp. 445 tRNA-Gln". It matches the Rfam family "tRNA". Rfam says of the family: Transfer RNA (tRNA) molecules are approximately 80 nucleotides in length. Their secondary structure includes four short double-helical elements and three loops (D, anti-codon, and T loops). Lineage: Bacteria; Pseudomonadati; Chlorobiota; Chlorobiia; Chlorobiales; Chloroherpetonaceae. The record is from RNAcentral.
UGGGGUAUCGCCAAGCGGUAAGGCAUCGGCCUUUGGAGCCGACAUUCCCAGGUUCGAAUCCUGGUACCCCAACAA